This 343-nucleotide unclassified non-coding RNA is filed under the name soil metagenome. RNAcentral's name for it is "partial contains 5.8S ribosomal RNA, internal transcribed spacer 2, and large subunit ribosomal RNA". The stretch from base 1 to 120 matches the Rfam family "5.8S ribosomal RNA", at positions 35 to 154 of the family's 154-position model. The record is from RNAcentral.
GAUGAAGAACGUAGCGAAAUGCGAUACGUAAUGUGAAUUGCAGAAUCCAGUGAAUCAUCGAAUCUUUGAACGCACAUUGCGCCCGCCAGCAUUCUGGCGGGCAUGCCUGUUCGAGCGUCAUUUCAACCCUCGACCUCCCUUUGGGGAAGUCGGCGUUGGGGACCGGCAGCACACCGCCGGCCCUGAAAUGGAGUGGCGGCCCGUCCGCGGCGACCUCUGCGUAGUAAUCCAACUCGCACCGGAACCCCGACGCGGCCACGCCGUAAAACACCCAACUUCUGAACGUUGACCUCGAAUCAGGUAGGACUACCCGCUGAACUUAAGCAUAUCAAUAAGCGGAGGA